CCCAGACCUACUUGUGGUGAGGAAUCACCAAGAACUCACCAUUUUGCCCUAAUCGCAAUCCAUUCGCGAGAUCGGAUCGGAGAUGGCGGAGGAGGGAGCAGUGAUCCACUGCCACACUUUUGAUGAAUGGACUCAACAGUUUGACGAGGCCAAGCAGUGCAAGAAGUUGGUGGUGAUUGAUUUCACUGCAAAAUGGUGUGGACCUUGCCGUAUGAUCGCCCCCCUCUUUGCUGAGCUGGCUAAGAAGCAUGUCAAUGCUAUUUUCCUCAAAGUCGAUGUCGAUGAAUUGAAGUCGGUGGCCAACGAUUUUGUGAUAGAAGCAAUGCCGACCUUUAUUUUCCUUGAAGGAAGGAACCAUCGUGGAGAGGGUUGUUGGAGCCCACAAGGAUGAUCUGCCGAAGAAGAUCGAACAGCUGCUCCUGAGUAAGUAGUGACCCUUCUUGCCUUGCUUAACUCUAUGCUUGUUUGUGGAAUAAGGGAUUUAGACUAUGGUUUUAAGUUCCUGGUGAUGAUGUUUAAGUAUGCUUGUUUGUGGAAUAAGGGAUUUAGACUAUGGUUUUAAGUUCCUGGUGAUGAUGUUUAAG
Molecule: unclassified non-coding RNA, 584 nt
Filed under: Hevea brasiliensis (rubber tree)
Lineage: Eukaryota; Viridiplantae; Streptophyta; Magnoliopsida; Malpighiales; Euphorbiaceae
Source: RNAcentral